Molecule: ribosomal RNA, 460 nt
Filed under: uncultured bacterium
Lineage: Bacteria
Description: partial 16S ribosomal RNA
Rfam family: Bacterial small subunit ribosomal RNA
Source: RNAcentral
CCUACGGGCGGCAGCAGUGAGGAAUAUUGGUCAAUGGACGAGAGUCUGAACCAGCCAAGUAGCGUGAAGGAUGACUGCCCUAUGGGUUGUAAACUUCUUUUAUAAAGGAAUAAAACGAGGCACGUGUGCCUUUUUGCAUGUACUUUAUGAAUAAGGAUCGGCUAACUCCGUUCCAGCAGCCGCGGUAAUACGUAGGAUCCGAGCGUUAUCCGGAUUUAUUGGUGUGAAAGGGAGCGUAGAUGGGUUGUUAAGUCAGUUGUGAAAGUUUGCGGCUCAACCGUAAAAUUGCAAUUGAUACUGGCAGUCUUGAGUACAGUUGAGGUAAGCGGAAUUCGUGGUGUAGCAGUGAAAUGCUUAGAUAUCAAGAAGAACCCCGAUUGCGAAGGCAGCUUACUAAACUGUGACUGACAUUGAUGCUCGAAAGUGUGGGUAUCAAACAGGAUUAGAUACCCUUGUAGUC